This is a long non-coding RNA of Actinia tenebrosa (Australian red waratah sea anemone), 1752 nucleotides long. NCBI's taxonomy places the organism in Eukaryota, Metazoa, Cnidaria, Anthozoa, Actiniaria, Actiniidae. The record is from RefSeq and is a predicted model, not a curated record.
UGAAGUUAAGUAAAUAUUGUGUUGGCUACGAUCAUAAUGCCUUGAUUAAACGCGCAAACCAAUCUCCGAAACUCACGUCAAAGGUCGGAUGGAGUUUACAUAAUAGUACAAAAUUAAUUAGCGCGCUUAAAAAUUAAUUGUAGCGAAAGAAAAUAGAGCUCUGCGACAUUCAGCUGAAGAAAAAAGAAAACUUCUCAAAGAAAAUCUCCGUUGAAGAAAACGUUAGGACCAUACCUCCAGACCCUGUGCUGAAGCACAGUAUGGCAGCGCGAAGCAUUUACGACUAUACCAGAGAUUUCGACCCCGACACCGCUAUCCAGUGACUGAUCAAGAAGCUCGGCCGAAGCCCAAGGGAGAGGCUAGUCGGCCCCUUGACCGUAAAUGAUUAACCCCUUGCUAUGACCAACGGUUUGAGAAAAGUUUUUCUGAUAACUAUAUUUUUCUUCUCACGCUGGCCCAUGUGGGUCGUGUUUGUUCGGAAAAAAGAGCUAGACAAGUCAUGCGCAAUUUAAUGUUAAGUAAUGUGAUCUGGAAGUCCGGUAUAGAUUACCGAUGAGUUUGGUAAAUUUGGAAUGGUGAUAGAAAGCAUAUGAAAACUUAACGAAAUUAUAAAUAAAAUGAAAGAUUGAAAAGAAUAUAACAAAUCAUAUCAAAUAUUAGCGAAAAGGCAAAUAAAAUAGCCUAAGUACCACAAGAUACCUAAGACAACUGCUCAUUCUAAAACUUAACAGAAUUCAAACUCAGUCACAUUAAUCGCCAUUAACAUAACUUAAUUUUGRUGUUUGUGUACAACAAGAACAAUACUGUCAGGUGUUCUACCAAAUUUGUUACUUCAAACUCAAAACUUCCWAAGAUCUGUUCCUUUAUGAUGAAAGAUUCUUCCCACGCACAUCUUCGGCACCUGCUAAAUACUUACUCAACACAGCCGUUCAAACCCUAUGCUCGACAUGCUCAAGGUACUUGCCGUACUACUCUGGGAACUUUGAGAGCUGGCGCUACUACUACGAGAGGAUGAGCCUUCUGACAACUCAAUUCUAAGCUCGCUUGUUUUUCGCUUAGUUUCUUUGUAUUUGUCAGGAAGGAGAUAGCAUUUUGCGUAGAGUGUUGUGAAGUUGUGAGCUAAAUGAAGAAAAAAGAUAAAGUUUAUUAUGAAAUCUUUAAAAUUUAUAAAGYACAUUAAAGCAGAAAUAGAAAGCUAUAGAAAAAGAUGGAAAUGCGGAAGACAAUAAAAACGAGAAAACUAAAUAGCUCAAAAGCUUGAAAGGCUAUUAUCUUAAAAUAUGUCAAUUCAUCUUUUCUUACCUGGUGGAAGUUUGAUAUCUCUGAUGUCCAAAAUAUUAAUUUUGAGUUCUGAGUAUCGACUAAGGAAAUCAAAAGACACUUGUAUUUCGCCAGGGCCUGGCUGAAUAUUUUCAUUAUAAUCUAUAAUACAAAUUUAAGUUAAUAAUAGAUAAGUAUUUAGGUAAGGUAUGGUUUUUAUUACCCUCCACUCUGAAUCCUCAGCCUAUCCCCUCCCCCACAUCUCACACCAGCAAAAACAUACCUUUCCUUUAGACAAUUUUAGAUAAUAAGGAAUUGAAAGUAAUAAUACAYGCUAAAUGUCAAUGGUUAUUUAAUGAGUAUUUACCUAAUGAUUCUGUAUUGCUAAUGGAUCCAUUGAGGUCUGUAGCACCUUGUUUAUUCUGUGUAUACAUCUAGAAAAGAUGAAGAAUUGAUGCCAAUGUUAAAUAAAAUAGAGUCAUCACUGUGAAA